Mastomys coucha (southern multimammate mouse) is the source of this 136-nucleotide small nucleolar RNA. RefSeq annotates it as small nucleolar RNA SNORA17. The transcript has a single exon. Lineage: Eukaryota; Metazoa; Chordata; Mammalia; Rodentia; Muridae. The record is from RefSeq and is a predicted model, not a curated record.
CCUAUCCCUAGAGGCAUUGCAGGCAUGGCUGCUGUGUCACUUGUGUGUCCAUCCGUAGGUGGUAGAAAAGAGAGACCUUAUAUCUACCCUGAGUGUUCUGACCUGUGAACAUCUGAAUGAUUAGUAGCCCAACACU